UACAGAGGGGGCAAGCGUUGUUCGGAAUUACUGGGCGUAAAGGGUGCGUAGGCGGCGCGGUAAGUCGGGUGUGAAAUCUCGGAGCUUAACUCCGAAACUGCAUUCGAUACUGCCGUGCUUGAGGACUGGAGAGGAGACUGGAAUUUACGGUGUAGCGGUGAAAUGCGUAGAUAUCGUAAGGAAGACCAGUGGCGAAGGCGGGGUCUCUGGACAGUUCCUGACGCUGAGGCACGAAGGCCAGGGGAGCAAACGGG
Molecule: ribosomal RNA, 254 nt
Filed under: uncultured bacterium
Lineage: Bacteria
Description: partial 16S ribosomal RNA
Rfam family: Bacterial small subunit ribosomal RNA
Source: RNAcentral